RNAcentral lists this ribosomal RNA (421 nucleotides) under uncultured bacterium. Its description in RNAcentral is "bacterial SSU rRNA". It matches the Rfam family "Archaeal small subunit ribosomal RNA", at positions 325 to 746 of the family's 1478-position model. The record is from RNAcentral.
ACGGGGUGCAGCAGGCGCGAAAACUUUACAAUGCUGGCAACAGCGAUAAGGGAACCUCGAGUGCCAGGUUACAAAUCUGGCUGUCGAGAUGCCUAAAAAGCAUUUCAUAGCAAGGGCCGGGCAAGACCGGUGCCAGCCGCCGCGGUAACACCGGCGGCUCGAGUGGUAACCGUUAUUAUUGGGUCUAAAGGGUCUGUAGCCGGCCGGAUAAGUCUCUUGAGAAAUCUGGCAGCUUAACUGUCAGGCUUUCAGGAGAUACUGUCUGGCUCGAGGCCGGGAGAGGUGAGAGGUACUUCAGGGGUAGGGGUGAAAUCUUGUAAUCCUUGAAGGACCACCAGUGGCGAAGGCGUCUCACCAGAACGGACCUGACGGCAAGGGACGAAAGCUAGGGGCACGAACCGGAUUAGAUACCCGUGUAGUC